Molecule: long non-coding RNA, 2309 nt
Organism: Sparus aurata (gilthead seabream)
Lineage: Eukaryota; Metazoa; Chordata; Actinopteri; Spariformes; Sparidae
Source: Ensembl
AUGCUGCCAGCAAGCGUGCAAAGAAGAGGAGGGGGAGCGAGCGCGUACAGGAGGAGGAGGAGGAGGAGGAGGAGUGAGGGAGAGACAGAGGGAGAGGGAGAGAGAGAGUGCAAACAAUGUCAUUCUGUUCAGGAGGCAAUGCUGCAGUCAACUUUGCCGCGCCAUGAAGGCACAUCACAAGCGACCAUGAGGCUCAGAGUGAGUGCAGAGAAGUUUUCCUCCUUGCCGCCCCGUGAGCGAUGCAGUCCGAGACUCAUCCGUAGGAGCAGGCUCAUACACCGGUCCGGCUGUUGGUGGCGUGUUGGAACAUGCCUUGACUUGUUGUGCUGCCUGAGUGGAGCAGAGAGAGAGAGACAUCCACAGAGACACAGAGGGAGAGAGAGGAAGAGAGAAGCUUGUGGUCAACACUUUGCCAGUGUGAAGUGACCCACACAAUGGGGGAGCCCUGCAGCCCUGGUGGACAGACUCCUGCUGAUGUCAACACCCAGAGUGCACUCACUGGAGACGAGCCUGGAUGGAGGAACUCCACUGCUGCCUGGCUGCGUGGUGAGUGUCAAAACUGUGUGUGAAUAAAAACCUCUCACAUAUAAUAUUACAACUGAGCACUUGUGCAAGCGUCUUGGUUAAUUGUUAUUGCAGAGAGAGGACCUCUACUUUAAAACUCCAGAAAGACUAAUUAGUGUGGGGAAAUCAAAAGAUACUAAAAUGAGGCCUUCAGAUCUGCUUAAUAAGUCCUGUAAAUUGACUGAAGUAUAAAUGAGAACAUGUUCAUUUGAAGUGUACAGCUUUAAGUAUUGUGAAAGCGUCCACACCGAGUCUUGAUGCUAACCCGAUGCCAUGGUAACUAUACAAAAGGUUAUUGAAUGCAGUGAUACACCCGGACACACACUUACCAAUCACACAGUGGCACAGUAACCUCCGCACAGACAGAGCACCACCGUUGACCCUUUCACAAGCCCCUGGGGACUCGGCGAUCAUUGUCUGACCACAGUUUGAUCCUCACAGAGAAGGACAGCUGUUUUUGUUAUUGUUUUCUCUUCUGGCCAGAAUGAAAGCUGGUUUCCACCGGGAAACCCAGCAGACCACGUCUCCUCUCUGAAAAAGCAGAAACCAGACAGAGGAAGAGUUCUGAGUUCCUAAUUUUUUACAACGGAGUCCAGAGAAUUAAAAAAUUAGUCAUUUUAAGUCAAGGGUUGUCAUAAGAUUACACACGAUGUACAUAGAAAUAGACAUGCUGUCAGACUGUCCACACUGUCACACUUAAAAGCUUCAUCUUACUGACUAGCGCUGCACUAAAAACUCAAAUACAUUAGUCACUCAAGUGACUCAAAAGAUAAUCAUUUAGUGUCUUGUGUACUAUGAUCCGUGUAUUUUGCUCCUGUGUGGUCAAGCCUGCAGAUAGUUACUGGGGCAACUCUAUUUUCAGGUAACCACAGGUAGUGUGUACCGUGGGUAAUACUCAAAACCAUUGAAUUAUUAACUGCACAUGCAGAAAUGAAUUCACGCCUCUGAAAAUAGUUCAAAAAUGUACAACUAUAGGUAGAGAACAGGCUUUUUUUGAAAAUUUCUAAUCAUAUUCCAUCGACUUAAAAUGCCUCCAGUGGUGAUUUUUAAUUCUCAAUUUAAAAUUAAAGUAUAAAGCAAAACUUAAAUUCACACUUUUGCUACAUAAACCUCAGGAGAGGCUUGGCUCCAGCAUGACAUCGUGUGAAGCAACAUUCAAAAACAUGGCUGUACAGUAAAUACUAGUGUCAUUGUUGGCCAUAAGAUGAUUAGGUUUGUGUAAAAGGAACUGGAGCAGAGAAGCAUGACUGUUUGAGCGUUGUUAGCUGACACUGGAACAACCAAGAAAUGCACAGCAGAGAGGAGCGCGGAGGGGUGGGUGCACAGGGUUUGUGAUGUUGGGUAGCUGGGAGAUGAGUGUGAUCCAGAAAGUGUAGGUGGGUCUGAAGUUGGGAUGUGUAUUAUAUAUAGCUGUGUUUCCACCCAGUCCCCAGAACUUUUGGUUCCAAGAAGUCCUUUUCAAGAACUAAAAAGGUUCCUUUUGCCAACAGAUAGACAACGAUAAGGCCAAUUAGUCCACUGACGUAUGAAAAGGUCAUGGAUUCUUUUUACACUAAAUUUGUCUGUGUAUGAAGACACCACAAUCAUCAACAUUCUAUUGACAUACAAUUAAUAAAAAGUGGAUUAGUGGUUUGAGGUACACAUUUUAAAAUAUGGUGGCUGUAAUAAAAUCAUGUAUAAAUCCUAUUUAAAAACAUUUAUACAUAUUAAAUGAUAUACUGUAUUAUAUAUACACAUUAUUUUUC